RNAcentral lists this ribosomal RNA (468 nucleotides) under uncultured bacterium. Its description in RNAcentral is "partial 16S ribosomal RNA". It matches the Rfam family "Bacterial small subunit ribosomal RNA", at positions 28 to 507 of the family's 1533-position model. The record is from RNAcentral.
GACGAACGCUGGCGGCGUGCUUAACACAUGCAAGUCGAACGGAAAGGCCCUGCUUUUGUGGGGUGCUCGAGUGGCGAACGGGUGAGUAACACGUGAGUAACCUGCCCUUGACUUUGGGAUAACUUCAGGAAACUGGGGCUAAUACCGGAUAGGAGCUCCUGCUGCAUGGUGGGGGUUGGAAAGUUUCGGCGGUUGGGGAUGGACUCGCGGCUUAUCAGCUGGUUGGUGGGGUAGUGGCUUACCAAGGCUUUGACGGGUAGCCGGCCUGAGAGGGUGACCGGCCACAUUGGGACUGAGAUACGGCCCAGACUCCUACGGGAGGCAGCAGUGGGGAAUAUUGCACAAUGGGCGGAAGCCUGAUGAAGCAACGCCGCGUGCGGGAUGACGGCCUUCGGGUUGUAAACCGCUUUCGCCUGUGACGAAGCGUGAGUGACGGUAAUGGGUAAAGAAGCACCGGCUAACUACGUG